CCUACGGGUGGCAGCAGUGGGGAAUAUUGCGCAAUGGGGGGAACCCUGACGCAGCGACGCCGCGUGCGGGAAGGAGGCCUUCGGGUCGUACACCGCUUUCAGCAGGGAAGAAGCCUGAUGGUACCUGCAGAAGAAGCCCCGGCUAACUACGUGCCAGCAGCCGCGGUAAUACGUAGGGGGCGAGCGUUAUCCGGAUUCAUUGGGCGUAAAGCGCGCGCAGGCGGCCCGCCAAGCGGCCUCGUCGAAGCCGGGGGCUCAACCCCCGGAAGCGACCCGAACGGGCGGGCUCGAGUGGGGCAGGGGAGGAUGGAAUUCCCGGUGGAGCGGUGAAAUGCGCAGAUAUCGGGAGGAACACCGACGGCGAAGGCAGCCCUCUGGGCCUUCACUGACGCUGAGGCGCGAAAGCUGGGGGAGCGAACAGGAUUAGAUACCCCUGUAGUC
Molecule: ribosomal RNA, 441 nt
Filed under: uncultured Slackia sp.
Lineage: Bacteria; Bacillati; Actinomycetota; Coriobacteriia; Eggerthellales; Eggerthellaceae
Description: bacterial SSU rRNA
Rfam family: Bacterial small subunit ribosomal RNA
Source: RNAcentral